UGCAUUGCUUCCGUGUUUUCAGAGCUUUGGAGAUCUGACCCAUCCGUCUACCAUGAGGGCUUUUUACCUGGCCAUCGUUGUCAUGAUGCUGAUUGCCACUGCCAUGGUUGAAGGAUACAAAGGCCCGAGCUGUUCUACCUAUGGAGGCUCGUGUAAUCCAAAGGGCUGUGCGAAGGGCUAUACCUACUACUCUACCCACGACUGCAAGUACUGCUGUGUUUCCCCCUACCCAUACAAGGGCUGAAAGGGAGGAAUGGUGGUGCCAGGAGUUGAGAAGGGCUGAGAGAACAUCACCCCACUGCUCAGCUGUCAAGAAGGCAUUCUGUCUCUUCCUCCUCAAUAAAUGCACAUGAAUGCUCA
Molecule: long non-coding RNA, 360 nt
Organism: Anolis carolinensis (green anole)
Lineage: Eukaryota; Metazoa; Chordata; Lepidosauria; Squamata; Anolidae
Exons: 2
Source: RefSeq, a predicted model, not a curated record